Molecule: ribosomal RNA, 2907 nt
Filed under: Klebsiella oxytoca
Lineage: Bacteria; Pseudomonadati; Pseudomonadota; Gammaproteobacteria; Enterobacterales; Enterobacteriaceae
Description: 23S ribosomal RNA
Rfam family: Bacterial large subunit ribosomal RNA
Source: RNAcentral
GGUUAAGCGACUAAGCGUACACGGUGGAUGCCCUGGCAGUCAGAGGCGAUGAAGGACGUGCUAAUCUGCGAAAAGCGUCGGUAAGGUGAUAUGAACCGUUACAGCCGGCGAUGUCCGAAUGGGGAAACCCAGUGCAAUUCGUUGCACUAUCGUUUGAUGAAUACAUAGUCAAACGAGGCGAACCGGGGGAACUGAAACAUCUAAGUACCCCGAGGAAAAGAAAUCAACCGAGAUUCCCCCAGUAGCGGCGAGCGAACGGGGAGCAGCCCGGAGUCUGAAUCAGCUUGUGUGUUAGUGGAAGCGUCUGGAAAGUCGCAGGGUACAGGGUGAUACUCCCGUACACUAAAACACACAGGCUGUGAACUCGAAGAGUAGGGCGGGACACGUGGUAUCCUGUCUGAAUAUGGGGGGACCAUCCUCCAAGGCUAAAUACUCCUGACUGACCGAUAGUGAACCAGUACCGUGAGGGAAAGGCGAAAAGAACCCCGGCGAGGGGAGUGAAAAAGAACCUGAAACCGUGUACGUACAAGCAGUAGGAGCCCACUAGUUGGGUGACUGCGUACCUUUUGUAUAAUGGGUCAGCGACUUAUAUUCUGUAGCAAGGUUAACCGUAUAGGGGAGCCGCAGGGAAACCGAGUCUUAACUGGGCGUUAAGUUGCAGGGUAUAGACCCGAAACCCGGUGAUCUAGCCAUGGGCAGGUUGAAGGUUGGGUAACACUAACUGGAGGACCGAACCGACUAAUGUUGAAAAAUUAGCGGAUGACUUGUGGCUGGGGGUGAAAGGCCAAUCAAACCGGGAGAUAGCUGGUUCUCCCCGAAAGCUAUUUAGGUAGCGCCUCGUGAACUCAUCUUCGGGGGUAGAGCACUGUUUCGGCUAGGGGGUCAUCCCGACUUACCAACCCGAUGCAAACUACGAAUACCGAAGAAUGUUAUCACGGGAGACACACGGCGGGUGCUAACGUCCGUCGUGAAGAGGGAAACAACCCAGACCGCCAGCUAAGGUCCCAAAGUCAUGGUUAAGUGGGAAACGAUGUGGGAAGGCCCAGACAGCCAGGAUGUUGGCUUAGAAGCAGCCAUCAUUUAAAGAAAGCGUAAUAGCUCACUGGUCGAGUCGGCCUGCGCGGAAGAUGUAACGGGGCUAAACCAUGCACCGAAGCUGCGGCAGCGACGCUUAUGCGUUGUUGGGUAGGGGAGCGUUCUGUAAGCCGUUGAAGGUGGCCUGUGAGGGUUGCUGGAGGUAUCAGAAGUGCGAAUGCUGACAUAAGUAACGAUAAUGCGGGUGAAAAACCCGCACGCCGGAAGACCAAGGGUUCCUGUCCAACGUUAAUCGGGGCAGGGUGAGUCGACCCCUAAGGCGAGGCCGAAAGGCGUAGUCGAUGGGAAACAGGUUAAUAUUCCUGUACUUGGUGUUACUGCGAAGGGGGGACGGAGAAGGCUAUGUUGGCCGGGCGACGGUUGUCCCGGUUUAAGCAUGUAGGCGGAUGUUCCAGGUAAAUCCGGAACGUCACUAACGCUGAGGUGUGAUGACGAGGCACUACGGUGCUGAAGUGACAAAUGCCCUGCUUCCAGGAAAAGCCUCUAAGCAUCAGGUAACAUCAAAUCGUACCCCAAACCGACACAGGUGGUCAGGUAGAGAAUACCAAGGCGCUUGAGAGAACUCGGGUGAAGGAACUAGGCAAAAUGGUGCCGUAACUUCGGGAGAAGGCACGCUGAUGGUAAGUGAAGUGACUUGCUCAUGGAGCUGAAAUCAGUCGAAGAUACCAGCUGGCUGCAACUGUUUAUUAAAAACACAGCACUGUGCAAACACGAAAGUGGACGUAUACGGUGUGACGCCUGCCCGGUGCCGGAAGGUUAAUUGAUGGGGUUAUCCUCACGGAGAAGCUCUUGAUCGAAGCCCCGGUAAACGGCGGCCGUAACUAUAACGGUCCUAAGGUAGCGAAAUUCCUUGUCGGGUAAGUUCCGACCUGCACGAAUGGCGUAAUGAUGGCCAGGCUGUCUCCACCCGAGACUCAGUGAAAUUGAACUCGCUGUGAAGAUGCAGUGUACCCGCGGCAAGACGGAAAGACCCCGUGAACCUUUACUAUAGCUUGACACUGAACACUGGUCCUUGAUGUGUAGGAUAGGUGGGAGGCUUUGAAGUGUGGACGCCAGUCUGCAUGGAGCCAUCCUUGAAAUACCACCCUUUAAUGGCUGGUGUUCUAACGUGGGCCCGUGAUCCGGGUUGCGGACAGUGUCUGGUGGGUAGUUUGACUGGGGCGGUCUCCUCCUAAAGAGUAACGGAGGAGCACGAAGGUCAGCUAAUCCUGGUCGGACAUCAGGAGGUUAGUGCAAUGGCAUAAGCUGGCUUGACUGCGAGCGUGACGGCGCGAGCAGGUGCGAAAGCAGGUCAUAGUGAUCCGGUGGUUCUGAAUGGAAGGGCCAUCGCUCAACGGAUAAAAGGUACUCCGGGGAUAACAGGCUGAUACCGCCCAAGAGUUCAUAUCGACGGCGGUGUUUGGCACCUCGAUGUCGGCUCAUCACAUCCUGGGGCUGAAGUAGGUCCCAAGGGUAUGGCUGUUCGCCAUUUAAAGUGGUACGCGAGCUGGGUUUAGAACGUCGUGAGACAGUUCGGUCCCUAUCUGCCGUGGGCGCUGGAGAAUUGAGGGGGGCUGCUCCUAGUACGAGAGGACCGGAGUGGACGCAUCACUGGUGUUCGGGUUGUCAUGCCAAUGGCAUUGCCCGGUAGCUAAAUGCGGAAGAGAUAAGUGCUGAAAGCAUCUAAGCACGAAACUUGCCCCGAGAUGAGUUCUCCCUGACCCUUUAAGGGUCCUGAAGGAACGUUGAAGACGACGACGUUGAUAGGCCGGGUGUGUAAGCGCAGCGAUGCGUUGAGCUAACCGGUACUAAUGAACCGUGAGGCUUAACCUU